UUCCAGCUCCAAUAGCGUAUAUUAAAGUUGUUGCGGUUAAAAAGCUCGCAGUUGGAUUCCUGCGAGGGGCGAUCGGUCCACCCAUUGGGUGUGUAUCUGUGUCGGUCUUGGCACCUUCUUGGCGAACGCAACUGCACUUGACUGUGUGGUGCGGCAUCCAGGGCUUUUGCGUUGAGGAAAUUAGCGUGUUUCAAGCAGGCGUGCGCCUUGAAUACCUUAGCAUGGCAUAAUAAGGUAGGACCUGAGUUCUAUGUAGUUGGUUUCUAGAGCUGAGGUAAUGAUUCAUAGGGAUGGUUGGGGGCAUUCGCACUUAACAGUCAGAGGUCAACGUCUUGGAUUUUUUGAAGACGGGCUACUGCGAAAGCAUUUACCAAGGAUGUUUCAUCA
RNAcentral lists this ribosomal RNA (387 nucleotides) under Dinophyceae sp. RNAcentral describes it as "partial small subunit ribosomal RNA". It matches the Rfam family "Eukaryotic small subunit ribosomal RNA", at positions 583 to 975 of the family's 1831-position model. Lineage: Eukaryota; Dinophyceae. The record is from RNAcentral.